GAGUUUGAUCCUGGCUCAGAUUGAACGCUGGCGGCAGGCCUAACACAUGCAAGUCGAACGGUAACAGGAAGAAGCUUGCUUCUUUGCUGACGAGUGGCGGACGGGUGAGUAAUGUCUGGGAAACUGCCUGAUGGAGGGGGAUAACUACUGGAAACGGUAGCUAAUACCGCAUAACGUCGCAAGACCAAAGAGGGGGACCUUCGGGCCUCUUGCCAUCGGAUGUGCCCAGAUGGGAUUAGCUAGUAGGUGGGGUAACGGCUCACCUAGGCGACGAUCCCUAGCUGGUCUGAGAGGAUGACCAGCCACACUGGAACUGAGACACGGUCCAGACUCCUACGGGAGGCAGCAGUGGGGAAUAUUGCACAAUGGGCGCAAGCCUGAUGCAGCCAUGCCGCGUGUAUGAAGAAGGCCUUCGGGUUGUAAAGUACUUUCAGCGGGGAGGAAGGGAGUAAAGUUAAUACCUUUGCUCAUUGACGUUACCCGCAGAA
Molecule: ribosomal RNA, 488 nt
Filed under: uncultured bacterium
Lineage: Bacteria
Description: bacterial SSU rRNA
Rfam family: Bacterial small subunit ribosomal RNA
Source: RNAcentral